Molecule: long non-coding RNA, 959 nt
Organism: Poeciliopsis prolifica (blackstripe livebearer)
Lineage: Eukaryota; Metazoa; Chordata; Actinopteri; Cyprinodontiformes; Poeciliidae
Exons: 3
Source: RefSeq, a predicted model, not a curated record
GGGGGCAGAAGGCUAAGUUAGCAGUUAGCUGGAUUCCAGUUCCUGAUCGGCUCCCUUGUUGCUCUCUUGGUGUUUCUGCUGUUAUUUCUUAAAUCUUCUUCCUAUUUUAACAUGAAAUCAGUGUUUUAUCUGUCAGUGUGAACUAGAAGCAGCUCCACAGAGAUGAGAACAUCCCGCAGAGACUCUGAGCGGAGCUAACGAUGCUAACUGAAUAGCAGCAGCAGCAGCUUGUUUUAUACUCAGUGAUUCUGGUGAAUGUUGAUGUUCUGAUUGAUUAGCUGCUGCUUUUUGUCCAGUGAUGGUGACAAUAUUUGAUCAGUUCAUUUACAGAAAGUGGGUUUUAGUGGAACCGCAUUAACACGGUCCUGGUCUGAUCUCUCUGACAGAAUCUAAACAGCUGAUUGAGAAUCUUCAUCCAGCUGGAAGUGAGAGGAUGAGGAGCUGAGGCACUUCAAGAUGCGGGACCCCCGCAGGGAGGGAGGAGACCAGAGGAGGGUCAGCUGCUGCUGCUGAAGGUCACGCUGAGGUGGUCCGCUUCCUGCUGGGAGGCCUGUAAGGUCAACCCGGUCCCCAAGGACAGGUGGGGCAACACGCCGAUGGACGAGGCGGUGCACUUCGGCCAUCACGACGUGGUCACCAUCCUCAGAGACUACCACACCCAGUACAGCCCUCAGGAUGCCGCCGCCGCCACCGCCGCCGACUCGCAGAGCGCCGAGAAGAACCUGGACGGCAUGCUGUGACUUCCUGGAGGCUCCUUCAGUAUAAAAGCUCCUCAUCAUGUUUAUCUGUUCUGCCAGAUUGAAUGGACCGGUUCUGACCGAGCCGCAGUCAGAAGGGAUGAAUGUUCAGGUGGCAGGAAGUGUUACCACGGUAACGACCUUCACCAGAACCAGUAAGACCUGCUGGGUGAAGUUCUGGUCCAAGAUUCGGCUGAAUCCUGAAUAUUCUCCCUGCUGAUG